UCAACCUGGUUGAUCCUGCCAGUAGUCAUAUGCUUGUGUUAAAGAUUAAGCCAUGCAUGCCUAAGUAUAAACUGAACUUAUGGUAAAACUGCGGACGGCUCCAUAGAUCAGUAAUCGUUCGUUUGGUGAUUUGAGUAAUUGGAUAACCCUGUUAAUUGUAGAGCUAAUACAUGCAUCAACGGUCCGAUUGGGCG
This 194-nucleotide ribosomal RNA is filed under the name uncultured eukaryote. Its description in RNAcentral is "partial 18S ribosomal RNA". It matches the Rfam family "Eukaryotic small subunit ribosomal RNA", at positions 1 to 193 of the family's 1831-position model. The record is from RNAcentral.